UAUGGCUGUUUAAAGACUGGAGUGCUGAAGAACUCAAGUGCUUGACCUUCCCAUUCUUUGCUAUCUCGUUGGCUCUCACCUUCCAGGCUUCAAUGGAGCGAUGGGCCUCUUCAAUUACAUGAGGGCAGCCACUGAGAUGACCAACACUUUCCUUUCGUGGUCCCUGGCACCAGGGUGGUUCUCUGUCAUUCUGGCAACCAUGGCAGGUGUUUGUCACUUGGUGGCGAAGAAAUGGGAGAAGGAUGAAGAUACCACAGAGCUUUUCACAGGCAUGACUAUAAAGACGCUGAAAGAGGACUUGUUGGAAAACCCUGCCUCUCAGUCUGCCCUCCGAGGGAGGCCAAGGGGGGGCACGUCAAAAUCUGUGACGAUUCUGUGAACUCAACACUGCGAGAUAUACAAGUGGCAUCAGGUUUGGGCGGGUAGGGUGCCCUGGUUGCGUGAGGGCAACCAUGCACCCGGUGGCAUCUGAGCUGUGGGAAUUAGGGUGAGAAGAUACCUUGGCAAGGGGUUACUUUUUGCAUCAGAUUCCCAGCAAGCAUCAAACAUCAUCAUGACACAUUCAGUUGCCUCUAAGCUACAAAUGAUGGAUGUCGGCAUCAAGGGGCACUGCAGUGACACUUCACAUCAUGCUUCUGAACUUUUUUUAAAAAUGCUAUUUUUUUGCUUUAUAUCCUUCCUGAAUAAACUCCUUUAAUAUG
This is a non-coding RNA of Podarcis muralis (Common wall lizard), 701 nucleotides long. The record is from RefSeq and is a predicted model, not a curated record. NCBI's taxonomy places the organism in Eukaryota, Metazoa, Chordata, Lepidosauria, Squamata, Lacertidae.